UUAAAUGCUUAGAAAAGGACAACAAUUGUCUGUACGGCUUAAAGAGAGAGAAGCAACUGGUGAGAGCUUCUUAGUAACGGCAUUCAAUUUACCCCCUUGGAGCAGCGUCAGUGAAAGAGAACAGUAAUUGUCGCCGGAAGCGGUCCGUUAACCGAUCUUGAGCUUCGUCUAUACAAGGAUUUUCUUGUUUAGAAGGAAGAAGGGUGGAACCACGAGCACAAACCUCGUCCCUUUG
Molecule: non-coding RNA, 235 nt
Filed under: Rummeliibacillus stabekisii
Lineage: Bacteria; Bacillati; Bacillota; Bacilli; Caryophanales; Caryophanaceae
Description: T-box sequence
Rfam family: T-box leader
About the family: Uncharged tRNA acts as the effector for transcription antitermination of genes in the T-box leader family. T-boxes are found upstream of many aminoacyl-tRNA synthetase genes and some amino acid biosynthetic genes usually in Gram-positive bacteria.
Source: RNAcentral